AGAAAAGCCCAGUCAGCAUUAUAAACGCUGAUGACGCUCCGGCCCCUCCCACUUCCCCCUCAGUGUUGCUGUUGUUAUGGCAGGUAGCUCCUCACUGUUACUGAGUUUAUCUGCAUUUCUACCAUCAAUAUUAAUUCAAUAACUGCUUCUAAAGCAAAAACCUCACCAGCGGACAUGUUAGAGCGGGAGUCUGACCUGAAAUCACAUAGAAAUGAACAACAUCAACAAUCAGGAUUACAGCUUUCUGUGACGUUUUCCUCAGGUACAGCAGUGAGCAGUGACCUACAGUCUACACAGCCCAGUGAAGUUAAACAUAUUAUAUAUUCCAUAAUAUUAACAACAUUAGUCAAGCAGUUGUUUCUAGUGAAGAAACAGCCAGUAAAUGUACCAAAGUAAUCAGAGUAAUAGUAUAAUGAUUACUGUAACCUCCCAUCUGUUAUAUUCUUUAUACACAUUAGUUUACUGAGACCAUGGAAACAGAAACCUGGAAUACUUUAUCCUGUACAACAUGUCAACAUAACUGAAGGAAUCACUCAUCUAAUAAAGUCAAUUGUUUAUGGGGUUGAAAAACUGCCAAGUAACCAACUUGAUAAGUUAACCUUCAGAUAUUUGUAAAAGCUGCAAUUAUGUUUGAACCCCUUUCAAUAUAUAUAUAUAUAUAUAUAUAUAUUAAUAUUGUAUUAUUUAUAUUAUAUAUUAUGAUGUCAUUUAUCUUCCAACAUAAUAAAGUUUGAAUGUGAGACAGUAA
Dicentrarchus labrax (European seabass) is the source of this 748-nucleotide long non-coding RNA. RefSeq lists it as uncharacterized. The record is from RefSeq and is a predicted model, not a curated record. The transcript has 2 exons. Lineage: Eukaryota; Metazoa; Chordata; Actinopteri; Moronidae.